UACGCUUUUAUAUAGGAUAGGAGUAAAAGCAUCUGCAUCUGCAUCUGAAAAGAAAGAUUUCAGUUAGUAAUUUAUUGUUCACGGUCUUCGAUGACUCAAUAUCAUACAGACUGGUUACUUAAACUACGCUUAGAACUAUCCUUACUUAAGGCUAUUUAUGAUCAAUGAAAAGUUUUUCCUUCAAAUAAAAAACCGAAUAACAGCCAAACAACAAGGAUUUUUCAAAGGUCGAUCAUUUUCAACAAAUUUACUUGAAUUCGUGUUACAAUUAAUUAUUCUUUCUAAUUUGACGAUACGAUAAGAGCUUAUUUGGCAAACAUUUUACUUUACCCAUUCCCCUCACAGAUAAACCAAAAGCGCAAAUGCAAUAAACAUUUCUCUGAGUGCUUAGAGGAAGAACACUGAAACAAAAACUAGGUCAAACAAGAAACAACUUUGAGUGAAAAUCGCGAGAAAUACGUGCUAGGAAUUAAUUCACCACAGGCGUGUAAGUUGAAAACCAAAACAAACGAAAGAAGCUUGAAAAGUUGGCAGCAUCGCCUUGCCAUUCGCGUUUCCGGAAUAAAGCCAGAAAGAAGGCAUUAGUGUCGUGUGCGAGCAAUCGGUCGGAACAACGCUGUCGGCCAAAGAGCAAAAAGGAUUCCCGUGCAGCGGGAGCAGGAACCGACAGGUAAGCAGAUUGAUUCUUCUGCGAAUUAAGGCAGUGUCACUAAUAGCGUGCCAAUUCUAGACGCUCCACCGAUUGGCCUGCGGAACAAGCCAUUCCGAGCCGGAAAAAUUGCUUUUGUGUUCUCACAAGAGGCGAAAGGUUUGAUCCGUGGUCGAAGAAAGCCCGGAAAGAAUUUCUACCAUUCCGUUCAACUUCCGAUCGAAGCGAAGGAGAAAGGUAAGCGAAAAGCUGAGUCAUUAACGAAUGGCCUUUAACCAAACGGCGCACAUGUUCGCAGGUUUGCCAUACCGAUUGGCCAAUACAAAAGCCGGCCACGCGAGCACAGAAGGUUGACAGCCAAAACAGAAAACACAUACGAAGGGGUCGGAAAUCGUAGGUACAAACCAUUUAAAAUCGUCACGAUUUACCGACACUUUUUCCCUUCAACAGGGCCCCUUCUUCUUCCCCCCCCCCUUCUUCUUUAUGCUUCUUCUCGUCUACGACAAGUUUUCUUUUCGUCUGCGACGAGUCUCUUUUACCGUCGACCAGCCUUUUAACCUCUGAGUGACAAUUCUGUCCGGGUUACGCCAGCACAGCACUUCUUGUGGCACCAUAUUACCAGCAUUAUCACUGGUGCUAUCCAGCGAACGAGCGAUCAGCAUUUCAUUCCUCAUCUAGACAGUAAACCGAGCAUUUUGUCCCGCGGUACCCACCGCGUGCGAGUCAACGAGUGGUGCAAUUAUCGUCGAGGCACUCUUUCACUUAUUUGGCCAGCAGAUGACAAACGACCAGUGGCCAAGCGGAAGUCCACGGAGUGGACGGAUUCAUCGAAGAGCGAAGCAGCACAGGCCUCAGGUUUUGAGCAGGAUUGAAGGUGAAAUCGACGCGAAAGAUGGCCGAGUAGCGAGCCACUUCGCACGUGUUCCAGCGGAAGCGACAUCAAAUUCUGGUGCCAUUGUGCUCCGGAUAUCAAAAGUGGGAUGCGCCUGCAAGUAGCAGAAUCGACGGUAGGCGCUUGAAAACAGACAGCGCAUGCGAGUCGAAGUGGUGGUCCGGAUCGAUAGCAGGUGUGUCGGCAAAAGGGCAGCCGCCCCCGCAUCGUUGGAGAUCGGUGCACAGUAAGGUGAGGUGCAAGCCCCAAGCGAAAGCCGAACAGCCAGGGAGCCGCCCAAAGCCAGCCAAAAGGAUACCGGUGACGCUGAAGACUGAAGCAUGCACGUUAGUUGUUUUUGAAACAUGUGAGGGUGGGAGAAAUAAUGGGUUUUAAAAUUUAGCAACCCUUCAAUAAAAGUUGCACAAUUUCUGUUUGCAAAUACAUUUUGAUUCAUUCUGUGGCAUCGACCAUAAUCCAACAUAAUAUUCUUAGAUUAUUCAUUAAAUGCAAUGGAUAAUGAAAAUCACGUUGAGGCAUUGUAUACAGACUUUAGCAAAACAUUUGAUCGUAUAGAUAUACCGAUGCUUCUUAAUAAGCUAAUAAUUGGAGUUCGUUUGGGACUUCUGAAAUGGCUUGAAUCAUAUUUAACAAACAGACAACAAAUAGUAAAAUUUAAUGGAACGAAGUCACUUCAGGUGUUCCACAAGGCUCACAUUUAGGACCACUUUUUUAUUCUUGUACGUAAACGGCAUUACUUUCGCCUUAAAAAUCUUUAUUUAUUUAACAAUCUUUGCAGGUGCUUCAAAUUAUUUACAGAGAUUAAACUAACUUAUCCUAGAUUUAAACACAGAUUCGAUUUUCGAUAAAGUAAAAUCAAAUUCACUAGCAAUUUCGUUGAAUUUUGCACAACAUACAUCUAAAGGAUUGUUGACCACCCGAUUAGCCAAAACCAUGGUAUUACAUUCAUUUUCCAGUGAUUUUGAGUGUGACCAUGUUAUUCAUCGUAAUGACAUCGUCCCAGCUUAAAAAUUUCAAAAAUUUAUGCACUUACAUUUUAUCGUGUAGGAGAAAGUUCUGACAGUCGAGGCGGAUCGAGGCACUUUGUUUUUAUUCCCAAAACAAUUCCGAUCGGCAGAAAAAAAAAUUAGGAAGCUUUUAGUGAAAAAUAUUCAUAAAGAUGAGCGCAAAGCGACAAAAUGCCACCACAAAUUGGAAAGCCGGUGUCCCGUAGAAUCUAAGACCAACCAAGCUGGUGCGAAACGGACCUAGGCAGAAUCCCAAUAAAGUCAUCAAGUGAUUCUAAAAUGAGUGUUUUUCAAUAAUAAUAAAAUGUUGAUAGAAAAAUAAAUUUUAAUGAGAAAUAAACACGGACAUUUUAUUUUGAGAUCACGAAUUUACAUAGAAUUUCAUCUUCCUUGCAACAAUGAACAUUCAAUGUAAUUCAAUGAAAAAACAAUGAAUUUCAUCGUUCCCUUGAGGAAAACUGGAAGCUGUAAUUGUAGGAUAGAUAUGCGAUAAUGGAAAAUAUAAAAUAAAAUAAUUUAUGUUAAAAGAAAAGAACGUUUAAUUUAAUCCUUUAGAAUUUCUCAACACGUACUAAUUAUUGAUGGACAAGUGAACAACAUGUGGAAUCAGAGAAAAUCUGGCUACUUCGAUUGGAAAUAAUGUUCAUUGCGUUCAUUGUUGCGCGAUAACUUUUUCCUAUAAAUAGAACGGCACCUGUGCUAAACGGGUGAUUCUUAAAUCGAAUUUUGGGAAGUAAACAUCCCUGUAAGGAAACCGGAGUAAGCGACCUCAAGAAGACGGCCAACCCUCAGAUUACGACAAUGGCGCAGUCGGCAGCAGCUACGGAUCUACGUCCAUUAGGUUUCUUACUAGAAGACUUAAAUAAAGUUUUUUUGGGAAGAAAUCUCAACUUGAAUAAAAAACAAAGAGUUUAAAUCUUUUCUAGGGUUAUGUAUUGAACUUUUCAGUUAGAGUGAAAACCACUAAAAGCGAGUUGCAUAAAGUAAAGACGAAAUUAUUUUGUCGAUACUUGUAAGAAUAACUUCGGUAGAAAAGACGAAGUUAUGAGUAUGUGAGUUCUGAUGGAAAAGGCAGAAACUCUGGGAAGAAAGAGGCUCAUUUGUGUCUCCGAUGAGAAGGCGGAAGACCAAGAUAGAUUUCUGAUGGAAAAGGCAGAAACUCUUUGAUGAAUCAUAAAAAACCAUGUUUAUGUCUCCGAUAGUAAGGCGGAAGACUGCAAUAGAGUUCUGAUAGAGAAGGCAGAAACUCUUAAAUUGAAUUGAAAGUAUUAAGAGCAGAAAAAGACUCAAUUGUGUCUCCGAUGAGAAGGCGGAAGAUCAAGAAAGAGUUGCACGCUCAUAUUUAUAUAACCAUAUUUGGUUCAAAAAUAACCAUUUUAUGACAUUUGCCUCAAAACUACCAAUAUGGUUGUUUUUUAUGAUUUUUUCCAAGAUAAAUUUCAACCAUUUUGGAAGUUCUCGAGUAUUAACCAUAAAAUGGUUGAAUAAUUUGACGUCUUUUCAUCGCCAUUUUGAAAGCGUCCAAUGGUGCAGCCGAACGCAUUUUAGAAAUCUAUUUUUCCCGGACUCAAUUAAGUUAUCAAGUUUAUUUUAUUGCAUCCGUAGGAGAUCAUGAAAAGUAAGUGAUGUGCUGUAAGUUUUUGUCAUAACAAUAAUCUUUAUAAUCAACAAAAAAACAAUUUCAGGUCACCGAAUGGACAUCGCUUCAGGUCCAAUUAAAAAACUGAUAGCAUCGAAACAACCAGAUUGCGAGGGCUCACUAAAGUUACCUGGCCACAGCAGCAGCAGACGGAAGAAAAAAAAAUCAUAUUUCUCGUUCAUUGUGAAAGAUUUUAAGUUCCUCACGAAAUCGAGGACUGGAGGAUACUUCCGAUGAUAACUAUUCCCAUUAUUUUUGCAAAGAACACGUCAGUAGCGCCAGAUAAUUUCAACCUAAAAAAACUAAUGAUUGUCUUCUGGAAUGACACAAUCAAAACGCUCCAACUAGGCCGCCUCCGUUAGGGCAAUCCAACAGCACUCAUCCUUCGAUCAUUUCUCCAACAGCAGCAGGUGGAAGAAAAGUUUUUGUCAUACGAACUUUUUUUACUAUCCGGAAGGAGCUUAAAUGGGCCAUCACUUUAGCAAAAACCAUCACCUGCCGGAACCUCCUUGAAUAACAGCAGAUUGGAAUAGCCUAUCCGCUAGAGCUACACGGCUUUACAGAAUGUCACCAAGGUACACGAGAUCACCACUUCCGCCACGGGGGAACUUCUGUUACCACGGGUGUUAAGGCUAUUUGUUGCUGUUCCUAGCCUGAAAUUUUCUGUUCCUGCUUAAAAAUUCAGAUUUUUUUUUAUUUACUUCGAUAAAAAUAUCUUGUUAUUGAAAUGGCAUUUAUUACUCACAAGAAAUAAAGAAACUAAUACGAAAAACCGUAUUUUUCCUAAGUAUGUCGAUAACUUAAAAAAAUGCUAAAAACUGCCCUGAAAAGAACGGGUGAAAAAUAACCAUUUUUUAACUUCUCCUCCAAAACCCCGUUCGGUUGAAAAAUAACCAUAUUCGAAGUUCUCCCGUAGAAGUCAUUUUAUGACUUCUCAUGGAGAACUCAUAAAAUGACAUUUCCCGGGAAAAGGUCAAAAAUGGUUAUUUUUGAAUGAUAAAUGGUUUAAUAAUUUCUAGCGUGUGUGAUAGAGAAGGCAGAAACUCUUAAAUGGAAUUGUAAGUAUUAAGAUAAAAAAAAAAGACUCAAUUGUGUCUCCGAUGAGAAGGCGGAAGAUCAAGAUAGAGUUCUGAUGGAUUAGACAGAAACUUUAACAAGGAAUCGAAAAUAUGAGGAGCAGGAAGGCUCAUUUCCAUCUCCGAUGAGAAGACAGAAGAUCAACAUAGAAUUGUAAUGGAGAAUGUUGAACUCUUACAUGAAAUAGAAAUUAUUACGAUCAAAAAGGCAGAUUUGUGCCAAGUUGAGAAGUCGGAAGACAGAAAGUUAAAUUCGAAUGUAAAGAUUAGAAACUAAGACUAACCAAGAGAUUGGUUAUCUGUGUCUCGUAUGAGAAAACAGAAGACUAGAAUCAUAGUUCUGAAAAACUAAAUGGUCGAAACUAUAAAAAAAAAUCAUUUGUGAAUAGAUCAUUCAUGUUUCCGAUGGUAAGGAAGACGAUUGAAAGUCGAAAAAAUCUGCGAUUGAGAAGCGAAAAAAAAAACUAUUGAAUCACUAUUGAAGCAAUCUGAUAAAAUUUCAAUACAUUCGCAAAAAAAAUGAUUUAAAUAUAUGAAAGAGAAUUUAAAUUUAUGAAUCAUUUUAAUUUGACGACACGAUACUUGGGAGAGUACAGAAGGGAAGUAUUGUAGGAUAGAUAUGCGAUAAUGGAAAAUAUAAAAUAAAAUAAUUUAUGUUAAAAGAAAAGAACGUUUAAUUUAAUCCUUUAGAAUUUCUCAACACGUACUAAUUAUUGAUGGACAAGUGAACAACAUGUGGAAUCAGAGAAAAUCUGGCUACUUCGAUUGGAAAUAAUGUUCAUUGCGUUCAUUGUUGCGCGAUAACUUUUUCCUAUAAAUAGAACGGCACCUGUGCUAAACGGGUCAUUCUUAAAUCGAAUUUUGGGAAGUAAACAUCCCUGUAAGGAAACCGGAGUAAGCGACCUCAAGAAGACGGCCAACCCUCAGAUUACGACAGUAAUAACCAUAAAUUAUAUAGUUUUGUGUUCUGAAAUGUAUGGGAAAAAGUUGAUUUUUUCAUUGUUAAGUUGCUUAACAACCCCCUUUUUUCAUGGUAAUUUUGGCCAAAACCAUGAAUACCAUGGUCGAAAACAAUGAGUUCAACAGUAAAAUCAUGGUUUCAUGUACCGUAAUAUUCAUGGUCUCAACCAUGAAAUCCUCGGUAAAGUGAAAAUAAAAUUCAUGGUUUUUUCAUAAUGUUUUUCUAUUCGGGCAUAUAGAGUUCGUCCAAAAAUAAUAUAUUCAAAGAUACCUAGGUCUCAAAAUUUUUCAUAUAAAUGCCAACGGACAAUCUUUUAACAAACCAAAACACCAUCUACUGACAGAAAAGAUCAACAUUUCUCGAUAAUUGAAUUUUUCACUUGUACCCCUCGUUCCGGGGUGUUUAAAGCAAGGGGCUGAAGAAAACAAAAAUUCUCGUACCAAGUUUUCAGUCAAGAAACCUGCAGGAGGAAGAAAAAUGAAACGAGUGAAAAACGUAUAGGAGCAACAUGGCGUCCUCAUUGCAAAAAUUUCAACCAGAGGCACUCCAGAGGCAAUUUUUUAAUAAUCCUUAAAAUGAUAUCCGCGGCUCGGGAAUGUCAAUCAAAGGGAUCUUUGGUAACAUUAAUAAAUUAUGGUUGGGCACAAAAUGCAGAGUUUUCAGCAUAACCCUUGUUAAAAUUGAUUCUAAAUCUGCAGUAUGACAACAACAGAUGCGUUUGGCAACCAAAAUGUUACCCUAUUUCGAAUCUGUAUGGGGUGAAGUGUUUAAUUUCGGGAACCACACUGACGUUCUGGUACCAAAAAUUUGGUACGGUGCGUUUGUAUGCGAUUUGACAGCUGGUUCAGUCCUCUGGUUUAAAGUGCUCUCUAAUAUUGUCGCUGAAUCCCCAAACCGGAGUUAUCGUCAAUGAGCGCUGGCGACAUUUACUGGCGACACUCACUGCACGCUCGUUUUCAUUUAACCAAUUAUGGUUACAGAAUAACCAUUUUAUGGUGUUUGCUCCAAAACUAUGAAUAUGGUUAUUUUUCAAGAAUUUUUCUAUGUCAAAAUUCAACCAUUUAUCAAGUUCUGGUGUAUAAACCACAAAAUGGAUGAAAAAUUUUACGUUUUUUCUACGCCAUAUUGGAAGCUACCGUGGAGUGAACCGAAAGUGUUUCGGAUUUAAUUUGUUCGCACAAGGCUGGAGAGAUUCUUAAGUGCACCAAUUGGACGAAUCUGUGGCAGUCCGGUUCCAGUUCCAGCACCUAAAGCGGGGCUAUAACUUACUUCCGGAACGAGCGCACAUAUAGUGAUUCAAAAACUGGCCCUCCCGACCAUUCUCCAUAACAUUCGGUUGAAGCUGAGAUGGGUAGACAGUCCAAAAAACUCCACCCACCGGAGUGGAAUUGCGUUCAACAUAAGAGUCUGUGCUACAGUUGCUUCAUCCGGAACCUCCCAGAUGCAUUAACACAAAGCAGAAAAAAGGAACCGCCUGACGAAAUGCCGUUUUUGGAAAAACUCCCUUGUCAGCCAGUCGUCCUCGAAAUAACUAAUAGCAUCGUUGACGAAAAUGUUAUUCUCAAGAAUGAAAUCCGUCCCCAGAGCGUCUCGCGACAACUGGUCCGCAUAAUCGUUCCCCGGAAGCUCGAUAUGUCCUGGAACCCUUUGAAUUGUGGUUCGAUUACGCUGAGCCAGCUGUAAGAUCUCAUUGGCAACGGAAUUGCCCACCCUAGUAUUUUUACUCUUCUUCUGAAACAAACAUUUUUUCCAGUUAUGUGACUUAAUA
Uranotaenia lowii is the source of this 7992-nucleotide long non-coding RNA. RefSeq lists it as uncharacterized. NCBI's taxonomy places the organism in Eukaryota, Metazoa, Arthropoda, Insecta, Diptera, Culicidae. The record is from RefSeq and is a predicted model, not a curated record. The transcript has 5 exons.